RNAcentral lists this ribosomal RNA (1210 nucleotides) under metagenome. RNAcentral describes it as "bacterial SSU rRNA". It matches the Rfam family "Bacterial small subunit ribosomal RNA", at positions 8 to 1175 of the family's 1533-position model. The record is from RNAcentral.
AGAGUUUGAUUCUGGCUCAGAACGAACGCUGGCAGCGUGGAUUAGGCAUGCGAGUCGAACGGGAAGCCCGGACUUCAACUUUUCGGAGGAGAAGAUCGGGUGGAGAGUGGCGAAAGGGUGAGUAUCGCGUGGGUAACCUGUCUUCAAGUUGGGGACAACCGGGGGAAACCCCGGCUAAUACCGGAUAUGAUUAUCUGUCGCAUGGCAGAUGGAUCAAAGGUGGGGAUCUUCGGACCUACCGCUUGAUGAGGGGCCCGCGUACCAUCAGCUUGUUGGUGAGGUAACGGCUCACCAAGGCUUACGGUUAGCCGGCCUGAGAGGGUGACCGGCCACACUGGGACUGAGACACUGCCCAGACUCCUACGGGAGGCUGCAGUCGAGGAUCAUUGACAAUGCGCGAAAGCGUGAUCAUGCGACGCUGCGUGGAGGAUGACGGCCUUCGGGUUGUAAACUCCUGUCAUUCGGGAAAAAUACGCCUGCAGUUAAUAUCUGCGGGAAUUGAUGGUACCGAAAGAGGAAGCCACGGCUAACUCUGUGCCAGCAGCCGCGGUAAUACAGAGGUGGCGAGCGUUGUUCGGAUUUACUGGGCGUAAAGCGUGCGUAGGUGGUUUCGUAUGUCGGACGUGAAAGCCCACGGCUCAACCGUGGAAUUGCGCCCGAAACUGCGGAACUCGAGUGCAGGAUGGGAGAGCGGAAUUCUUGGUGUAGCGGUGAAAUGCGUUGAUAUCAAGAAGAACACCGGUGGCGAAGGCGGCUCUCUGGAAUGUUACUGACACUGAGGCACGAAAGCUGGGGGAGCAAACAGGAUUAGAUACCCUGGUAGUCCCAGCUGUAAACGGUGCGCACUUGGUGUGGGGGGAAUUGACCCCCUCCGUGCCGGAGCUAACGCGUUAAGUGCGCCGCCUGGGGAGUACGGCCGCAAGGCUAAAACUCAAAGAAAUUGACGGGGGCCCGCACAAGCGGAGGAGCAUGUGGCUUAAUUCGAUGCAACGCGAAGAACCUUACCAGGGCUUGACAUCUAGCUGCACGUCUCCCGAAAGGGAGAAAGCUUUCGAAGGUGCUAGACAGGUGCUGCAUGGCUGUCGUCAGUUCGUGCCGUGAGGUGUUGGGUUAAGUCCCGCAACGAACGCAACCCCUGUGUUUAGUUGCCACCUCAGAUUUAUUCUGAGAGCACUCUAGACAGACUGCCCGUACAAGCGGGAGGAAGGUG